AACGAACGCUGGCGGCAUGCCUAACACAUGCAAGUCGAACGAGACCUUCGGGUCGGGUGGCGCACGGGUGCGUAACGCGUGGGAACCUGACCUAAGGGUCGGAAUAACUCCGACAAAGGGGUGCUACGACCGGAAAAUGUCGUCGGACCAAAGAUUUAUCGCGUGUGGAUGGGCGCGCGUUGGAGCAGAUAGUUGGUGGGGUAAAAGCCUACCAAGGUGACGAUCGAUAGCUGGCCUGAGAGGAUGAUCGGCAACACGGGGACUGAGACACGGCCCAGACGCCGCCGGGAGGAAGGAGUGGAGAAUAUUGCAUAAUGGGCGAAAGCCGGAUGCAGCGACGCCGCGUGAGGGAGGACGGCCUGCGGGUGGUAAACCUAUUUCAGCUCCGAAGAAGAGAAAGUGACGGUAGGAGCAGAAGAAGCACCGGCUAACUACGUG
This 438-nucleotide ribosomal RNA is filed under the name uncultured bacterium. RNAcentral describes it as "partial 16S ribosomal RNA". It matches the Rfam family "Bacterial small subunit ribosomal RNA", at positions 29 to 507 of the family's 1533-position model. The record is from RNAcentral.